Camelus dromedarius (Arabian camel) is the source of this 2584-nucleotide long non-coding RNA. RefSeq annotates it as protein phosphatase 1 regulatory inhibitor subunit 14C. The transcript has 4 exons. NCBI's taxonomy places the organism in Eukaryota, Metazoa, Chordata, Mammalia, Artiodactyla, Camelidae. The record is from RefSeq and is a predicted model, not a curated record.
CUGGGCCGGCCGAGGGCGCGGGAGGUGGCAGGUUUCGCGCGUUUCGGGACGGCGGGAGAAGCGCAAUCCCGGCGUCCAGGAGGACAGGACACAGUGUCCAGGAGGACAGGACACGGUGUCCAGGAGGACAGGAGGCGCAGAGGACCAUCCCUGGCAUCAGACCCCACCCGCUACUCCUCUGGGUGUCUACACCCGUGCGCCCGCGCGUGUCUGCGCGCACACAUUCCUGCCGCCGCUCGCAACUCCCACAUCCCGGGCCCGCUGUCUGCCAGGCGCCGGAUCCGCCUCCCGGCUGGACCGAGAGGGUCCUCGGCGGCGUCUUUAAGGCUUCGGUCCCCGCCCUACCCUCCUCCCCGCCCUCCCCCGCCUGAGCUCCUCGGUGUCGCCUCGGCUCCUCCCGACAUCCCCACGAGCCUGGCGGUGGCGCGGAGCAGGUGCCGGCGAGCCCCUCGCAUGCCGCUGCCCGGCCCGAGGUGGUAGCGGCGCCGGGCGCGCUCCGCCUGUCCCUCCUCCCGGCCGCACUAGGGCUCCGGCGCGCGCAGGGACAUGUCGGUGGCGACGGGCAGUAGCGAGGCGACCGGCGGGGCCGGCGGCGGCGGCGGCGCGCGGGUUUUUUUCCAGAGUCCCCGGGGCGGCGCCGGUGGCAGCCCAGGCUCGAGCAACGGCUCGGGCUCCUCCCGGGAGGACUCGGCGCCCGUGGCCACGGCGGCCGCUGCGGGGCAGGUUCAGCAGCAGCAGCAGCAGCAGCGGCGCCACCAGCAGGGAAAAGUGACAGUGAAAUACGAUCGUAAGGAGCUUCGGAAGCGGCUAGUGCUGGAGGAGUGGAUCGUGGAGCAGCUGGGACAGCUGUACGGCUGUGAGGAAGAAGAAAUGCCAGAUGUGGAAAUUGACAUUGAUGAUCUUCUUGAUGCAGACAGCGAAGAAGAGAGAGCUUUAAAGUUACAGGAAGCUCUCGUAGACUGCUACAAACCAACAGAGGAAUUUAUUAAGGAGCUGCUCUCUCGGAUAAGAGGCAUGAGGAAACUGAGCCCCCCGCAGAAGAAGACUGUGUAAUUCUGGCACAAGUGGAACUUCCCCGGAGACCGAGGAAGGGAUUUGGACUUCAUGAAGACGUUUAUUAAAGAAUAGUUGUCCUUAUGAGCAACUAUUUUGGGGGAGGGGGGUGGUAUCUAUUAGACAUUUAUUCAAGAGCAUUUUUUGUUUGUUUGUUUUAAAAGAUUUUGUUAGUGUAAUAUUUGAAUUGCAAAGAUAUCAUUACUCUGGUUUCAGCCCAACCGGAAAUUACCAAACCAGGCAGACACGCAAGGAUGGGCUGGUCCAGGCAGCAUCUUUUUGGAGAAAUCAGAUGUUUAGGACUUAACUAUACAGGGAUGACGGUUUUCUUACAACUAGCUUGGUAAUACUUUUUUCUUAAGUUGUACAUUUGACUCAGAUGUCGAAUUUCUCGUACUUGUAUAUAUCUACACGCAACUAAGUUAAAAUGUAGAUGUGAGUUUUAUUUCACACGAGUGGAAUAAACUUGUGGUCAUCCUUUCAUUGGAGGUCACAGCACGUGUGUUUUCAAGAGGCCACUAGGUAUUCUUCAUGCAAAUACUGUUGACCUUCAAUGUUCACUUUAUGCACCAAAGUGAAAGAAUUCAGUGUAUCCGUUAUUUUAAUGAGCUACACUACAAAAAUGUGGACUUGGUCAAGGGCUUAAUGUAUGGACUUUGUAUUAUUUCAUUAAUCAGGAUGCUUUGCCAGGUCAUGUACUUAUUGCCUUGUUUGUGGUAUUUUAAAGUUUUAUGAACCUUUUAUUUGAAGAACUAUUUGGAUUUCUAGAGAAACGCCCACGCUAUCUGAGUGCUGUUUUGCGGUGGAACAAGGAAGCACCAUGUAGCAAUUCAUUCUCUGCUUUCAACCAAAUAGUGUGUAUUAUUCUCUCUCCAUGAAAGCAGGUCAUAAGGAAGUUAGCGGAGGAUGUAUCUUCCUCCGUAGAAGUAGAUCUGGUCACUUCUGUGUCUGGGCAGCAUCAGAUCAGAACAGAUGAGCUGAGUGAUGGGUGGGUGUAAAUGGGAGAAAGCUUCACCUCCUCCCAAGAAAGCUGAUACAGGAGCAUUUGCUGUUCGGAAGCGGAAGCAUGGUGGCGAUUUCAUUGCCAGCUUCCCUCUAUGGCAUAUGGUCAGGACUCUGGCUUCUGGCCCUAAUUUUGCACCCCAUCCCCUUGUUUGGAGCUGAGCCUGGGGCACCUGCCCUGCCCUGCUCCUCUCAGUUGUCUACCAGCUCCUUGGAGAAGGAUCAAAGUUCAGAUGAAUGUGGGCGGGGUCAAAGGGCAGGGUAGAAACUCAUCCUUCCCUCCGGGAGGCCCCCACUGCCUCCCUGCAGAAACCCCACAUACUGCAGGGUGUCUCCAGGUGGCCCUGUCGGAGCACAGGGGUCAGGCAUUUUAUAUCAAGGGUGCUCUGAACAUAUUUUAUUUUUUCAAAGAACUAUGUUUGUGAAUUUUAUGUAUACUGGCAAGCUUUUGAAAAUGUAUUUAAUUUUGUAAUGUUUACCAAUGAUUUAUUUACAUGCUAUUUACUCGAAUAAAUGGAGCUGCUUACAA